This 253-nucleotide long non-coding RNA is filed under the name Lathyrus oleraceus (garden pea). RNAcentral's name for it is "Pisum sativum (pea) long non-coding RNA (PSAT_LNC027109)". The record is from RNAcentral. Lineage: Eukaryota; Viridiplantae; Streptophyta; Magnoliopsida; Fabales; Fabaceae.
AAUUCUUCAAUCAGACAGGAAAAUAAAAGUGAAGGAAUAAAAAUCUAGGAUCUAACGUAAGGUUAGAUCUAGUAAAAGAUACACAAUAGUUUCUGGUGUAGAAACUAUUGUGCGAAAAAUUAAUUAAGUGCUUAAAAGGAUUGCUGGAAAAGAAAAUAGAAAUUGCAAAGGAAAAUAAAUAAAGACUGUAAAAAAAAUAAUGAUGUAAAGUUAUGCAUGUACUGCUGGAAGAGAAAAAGCACGAAAAGGAGAG